Molecule: ribosomal RNA, 740 nt
Filed under: uncultured bacterium
Lineage: Bacteria
Description: bacterial SSU rRNA
Rfam family: Bacterial small subunit ribosomal RNA
Source: RNAcentral
AGAGUUUGAUCAUGGCUCAGAACGAACGCUGGCGGCAGGCUUAACACAUGCAAGUCGAGCGCUCAGCAAUGAGAGCGGCGCACGGGUGAGUAACACGUGGGAACGUGCCCUUUGGUUCGGAAUAACUCAGGGAAACUUGAGCUAAUACCGGAUAAGCCCUUACGGGGAAAGAUUUAUCGCCAUUGGAGCGGCCCGCGUCCGAUUAGCUAGUUGGUGAGGUAAAGGCUCACCAAGGCAACGAUCGGUAGCUGGUCUGAGAGGACGACCAGCCACACUGGGACUGAGACACGGCCCAGACUCCUACGGGAGGCAGCAGUGGGGAAUCUUGGACAAUGGGGGAAACCCUGAUCCAGCCAUGCCGCGUGAGUGAUGAAGGCCCUAGGGUUGUAAAACUCUUUCGGCGGGGACGAUAAUGACGGUACCCGCAGAAGAAGCUCCGGCUAACUUCGUGCCAGCAGCCGCGGUAAUACGAAGGGGGCUAGCGUUGUUCGGAAUUACUGGGCGUAAAGCGCGCGCAGGCGGUUCUUCAAGUCAGAGGUGAAAGCCCAGAGCUCAACUCUGGAAUGGCCUUUGAGACUAGAGAACUUGGGUACGGGAGAGGUGAGUGGAAUUCCGAGUGUAGAGGUGAAAUUCGUAGAUAUUCGGAAGAACACCAGUGGCGAAGGCGGCUCACUGGCCCGUUACCGACGCUCAGGCGCGACAGCGUGGGGAGCAAACAGGAUUAGAUACCCUCGUAGUCC